RNAcentral lists this long non-coding RNA (1587 nucleotides) under Mytilus galloprovincialis (Mediterranean mussel). The record is from RNAcentral. Lineage: Eukaryota; Metazoa; Mollusca; Bivalvia; Mytilida; Mytilidae.
AAAAUCACAGCCUUAAACUUAUAGUCACUUGAGAUAUAUAUCUAUAAAUGGAGCCAAAUUAUAUACAUGUUUUAUGUCAAUAAAUACCACUGUUUGUGCAUGUUUUGUUUUUUUUGGAGGGCAGGGGUCUUAUUUGCACAGUGCUCAUAGUUUUUUAGUCGAUCAUUAAAAUUCAUUUAAAGCUUAAAGACCAGCUAUAAGGGCAAGAAGCUUAUCAAGCACUCAUGGUUUAGAUUUUUAUUAAACACACAUUAAUAUACAUAAUGUACAUUAAACAGAAAAAAAUAUUGAUGCAAGAUGUCAUUCAACUUUUACUCUUUUAUGUAUAGGACAAGAACUAUAGAAGAUACAGAGAAAUUAUAUACAGCAGAAAUGAUAGGCAAUGUAAAAUUUGCAGAAGCCAACUAAACCUAAAUGGUAAGGCACCUUUUAAUUUUAAAAAAGUUAUUGAACUUGAAAGAUGAUUACUAGUAUCAUGAUUACUAUAAAAAUUAAAAGAUGUGGUAUAUUAAAUAUGAAAACUAUCAUGGCUUUGAGAAAGCAAUUGUAGGCCUGUUACGACCUUCAAUAAUGAGAAAAUCCAUACCCUAUACUAUAGUCAAAGUAGGCAGCUAUAAAAGACCUAAAGAUGAAACAUUGAAACAAUCCAAACUGUAAAACUAAUCAUGGUAAUUGCCUAGUUUAUAACAAAAUAAAUUACAAAAAAUAAAUAUGACCGGUAUGAAACAACAACAACAACAACCACUAAAUUUUAGUGUCAGACUAAACUGACAAAAGCUACAGGCUCUGAACUUUGGACAGGCACAAUAGGAAUAUGGCAAGGUUAUAUAAAAAUAAGAUGUGGUAUGAUUGCCAAUAAGACAACUCUCCACCAGACAACCAAUGAUGUAAAUUUCCUGCAAACACGGACUUGACUUCUGUAAAUCAACUAAUUUUUCGUGAAUACUUUAUUUGGCAUUUUAUACUUUCUAGUCUACAUCGCAGUUAUUUAUUUUUCUCGAGUUCAAGUUUACUUAAUGUAUUUUAAUAAGGAAAGAUACACAUGAAAAACAUUUAUUGCUGUUUCUCUCUCCAUUUAUAACAUUUUAUUUGUUUAUUUUGUGUAUUUAUAGGUGAUCAGACAUCUUGGUUUUCAUGAUCAAUAGGUCAUUACUGAAGAGGAAACUUAAAGUUGAAAUUUAUUUACAUAGUGCAUAAUUGGAUUAAUUUGAAAUGGAAUGUGUGCUUUCCUGCAAAAAAGAAAUAGGAAAUUUCAACAUUAUCACAUGAUAAUGACCAUAAACAAAAUGGAGUUCUAUCAUAGAUACACAAAAACACUAUUGCAUAAAAGCAACAACAUAUCUUAAUCAAAAGAAAGGAGAAUGCUGAACAAAUACUAUUUUGUUGUUGAAAAAAGGAACACCAGUUUUAUCCACUCAUUUACAUCGCUCCCUCAUAUCAAAUAUACAGAAGAAGAUCAUUGAAGAACAAUUUGCAAAAAUGAUUUCUCUUAGAAUUGAAGGGAAUUGUUUAGUGAAUGGAAUAAUGUAUUCACUGAAUUCUUACGUAGUGGAUUGAAUAACUGUACACAAGCUGAAACAGAAGAAA